Molecule: long non-coding RNA, 2923 nt
Filed under: Oryza brachyantha (malo sina)
Lineage: Eukaryota; Viridiplantae; Streptophyta; Magnoliopsida; Poales; Poaceae
Description: long non-coding RNA (OBRA_LNC000695)
Source: RNAcentral
CCCGCCGCGUUAGCGCGGGAAAUCCGGGAGAGUGGCGCGACGCAGCGCAGCGGCAUCAGUUUUUAAUACCGCCGCUGCUGGCGCUGCUGCCUCCCGUCUCGGGGAGACACCGAGCCCACCAGGGGGGGUUUCGUGUUCCCCUCGGCUUGCCUCUGCCCUCGCCUCGCGCCCUUCCCGGGGGUGGGGUGGGGGCGGAGGCGGUGGCGCUGUCCGAUCGGAUACUGCCGCCGCGCCCCCUCGCUCUCGCGGGCGUUCGUGUUCGAGAUCUGAACGGGUCGCCGUCGCCGUCGCCCGGCGAGCACGCCGGCUGGCCGGACGCGAUCGGCGAACAACCAAGGUAUGCUUGUCGUCCCACGCUUGCUCUCCCCUAGUCCUGUGCGAUGGUUGGGGCGAUUGAGAGAGGAGGGUCUUGGGGAGGGGGGGGGGGGCACGCGGUGUCGUGGUUUGGAGCUCUGUUGCUGGCGAUGGGAAUGCGCAAAUGAUUUGCUCGUGCAGUUUAGCUUGGUGGCCGCUGUUCAUCCGGAAAGUUUUGUUCUGCAUUUUAUCUGCUUGUGCCAUCCUCUUAUGAGUAGGCUGUUCUGUUGGAUGGUCCAAUUUGGAAGUCACAGAGACUGCUGCUUUGUUAGCCGAUAAAAGAAUGUUGUUCUCUAACAAUCUUUUUGCGACGAUUGGAGAUGAUUUUGUAGGUAGUUGGGCGAAGAUAACCGUAUUUGUAGUGAUCAUCCACAUAUGUUUGCUUGAUAUUGGAACCUCACGGAAGAGAUAAACUCUCUAUUUACCAUUACCUAAUGUUGUUGGGUAUACCUGGCUGUGGAGUAUUAUUACUUGAUUGGUGAACUACAAUGCACUUGGAAUCAUUCAUUAAUAAAUGUGGCAAAGAUUAUCUGGUAGAAGAAAAUGGUAAAGUGACCUGGUUAGUCUUGUUGGAUCUUAGCACUGAAAACUGUUAAAAAAAAUAGUGCCUUCUACAGCUUAAUUUGUCAUAGACAAAUUCAGGGUUUUGUAAGAUGACUAUUAUAGGGCUGUAGGUUCUCUGUUAGAUGGAGCAAUUAAAUAGCCUGGACACAAGGUAAGAAGGGGCCAAAAUUUUCCUGUAGUGAUCUUUCUCUGUUUUAUGAUCGGCAUUUAAGCUUGUAAAUCUGAAUACCUGGGAUGAAGCAAUAGCAUAUAAGAGAUGAUGUUAACCAGAUUUCCAAUGAUUUGAAUGUAAAUAAUAGUACCCAAUUGACAUGUCAUUAUGUCAACAUCCGUCCAGUGGCAAAGUUAAUUUAAGGAUAAUUUGAUGAUAGCGUACCAUUAACAACUGUAUUGGCAGCCAACUGAUUAUGACAAGUAUGCAUGAUAGCCCCUAUUUCAUUGGUUACUGUCAAGAGCUUUACUUUCGUUCUUCCUUUUGUGUCGCGAGGUACUAGUACCGUGAGGUACUAAUAUCCCCAUUCGUGCUAUCCACUCACGACCAAGCUGGUAUCUCGAGGUACCAUACAAUCGUGAUCGUUUGAUUUAGCAUCACCAAUAGUCAGGAUUUUAGUAUCAAUUUGAUUAUGAGGUGGGUAUCACGAGUGAGGAUUUUAGUACCUCACGGUACUAGUACCUUGCGGUACAAAAGGAAGGACUGGAGCAAACCUCUACCGUCAAACCUCUGAAAGUCUGAAGUAUAUCCCUGCUAAAAGAACCCUCAGAAGUAUACCAUGGUAUGCUUACAAGUUAAAUGAGAAAAUUGUUAAUGUGAAUUUGCAAGAGUUGCAUAAAAGCUUUGAUGUAGUGUUCUGUUCUCUACCCAUGUAGUCAUCCCAUUCAGCUUAUUAGUUGUUCUUUUUGUAUCUGUGUUCCUUUUUUAGGGGGUGUGAGGGAUGGUUGUUUGUGUUAUGUGGAAGAAAUCUCUUUAUGCCUAAAUGCUGUACUUGCACCAGAUAACCAGACAGUCCAUUAGUCCAAUACAAUAUGUUGCCUUUGUUUAUCAGCAUGAGGUCUCCAAACCUCAGCAGAUGUCUUCUUUUAUCCUUGCAUGUGAACCAUGCUCCCUUAUUUACCCAUGCCAAUCAUGGAGCUGAGUAUUUGUUAUCUGCAUAAGCUGAACUAUGUUAUCCGGUAAUGCUUUUGUACUAAAAACUACUGUAUCCUUUUAACAAAUAGUACCUCUGGACUGUAUAAGGCAUUGGUUGUUACCAUGCAGGACAAAUUAAUGGAGAAUGGAAGCAAGGCUGCCGAUGUUGGGCAAAGACAAACUCAACAUCAUGGAAGAAUGUCUCCCCAUCUCAAAUCCCCGACCAUUUGUACAUACUGCUCUCCGAGAUCCUCUCGGCCUCUCGGGUUUGGCCAGCAUAACGUGAAGCCCAAGCCCCAGAGCAACGGCCCCUUGUAAGAGGUGGCCAUUCGUCUGCACGUGCCCAACAACAACUCCUGCAACCGUUUCUCCACUCUGACACCGAUGAACUCAUCGGGAUUACUGCUUCUCCAAUUAACCUGGUGGAUGAAGCUACGCUGAAAUCUCAACUAGUAGUACUACUACUACAUAACAUAGCCGUCACUAAUCUCUUCUCACUCUCUGUGCUUUCUUUCUGACAAUCUUGAUGUGUUUACCUCCAUGGUUCGGUAUGCUGCCCGCCAUCUUUUGGUUGUUCUGGUGCCUUGUGAACCAAUAAUGGUUGAACCGAAAGCUUUAUGCGAUCAUACUAUCCUUUUAUAUGCUAGAUUCCAGAAGGCUGUCCUUUCAAUUGGGUUUGUCUGAACUUCUAUUUUGUCAUAUGCAAAUGUGAGGUCCUUGUGACAAUGCAGGCGAAAAUUGGUUGUUGCUGGGCGCAAGGCGAGGCAACGCACUGACACACACGUCGUCGUCCUCCUUAUCUUCAUUUCUUUUUGCUGGAUUCUAUAUAAUCUGUACUCAGAAGAACAGAGCUUGUGCACCCUAUCUUUUUUAUUAUGC